CUACCAAAACACAUGCAUAAAAUAUAAGUAGAACUAUUUUGCAAACCUGAUACGGAAAUCCAACUCUCCUGCCUUUUUAAACUGUUAGCCUAAUGAUGACUGUAUUAGGCUUACAAUAAAAUGUGUGUCGCAUAUAUGCUAUUAACCGUGCACUCUGUCUGUAUCCGCUCUUUGAGGGAGAGUGCGCUGGUAAAAGGGAGGGAGGGAAUGAGGCAAACAAGAAACAUGUAAUCACCCAAACAACCGUUUUAGUCCUUUCCCCCUGGAUUUGUGUCGUAAGAUAGCCUACAGUAUCUACUUCAAAGGAUACACAGGGGGCCGCGAGACUGUUACAAUGGGACUUGAAGCUUUUGGGAGAAUUGGCACCUGAAUCGGAGAGAGGUUUGUGCAGAGCGUCCCCAUCAAUCACGACAACUGUGUUUCCAAGGUGAUGUUGUUGAGAUUGUAAAUAAGAAGAGGCAGACGUCACAGAACCUGAAGGAUAUGGGACACAGACAGCAAACGUAUAAUUACAGCUGUAUCGUACGAAGACAAUGACCCAACACACCUCCAUGCUGUGUAAGGGCUAUUUGACCAAAAAGAAGAGUGAUGGAGUGCUGCAUCAGAUGACCUGACCUCAACAAUCAGCCGAACUCAACUUAGUUGAGAUGGUUUGGGAUGAGUUGGACCGCAGAGUGAAGGAAAAGCAGCCAACAAGUGUUCAGCAUAUGUGGGAACUCCUUCAAGACUGCUAGUAAAGCAUUCCAGGUGAAGCUGGUUGAGAGAAUGCCAAGAGUGUGCUAAGCUGUCAUCAAGGCAAAUGGUGGCUACUUUGAAGAAUCUAAAAGCUAAAAUAUAUUUUUUAUUUGUUAAACACUUUUUUUUGCAUACUAUACGUGUUAUUUCAUAGUUUGGAUGUCUUCACUAUUAUUCUACAAUGUAAAUAAAGAAAAUCCCUUGAUUGAUUAGGUGUGUCCAAACUUUUGACUGGUACUGUAAGUAUUCAGACCUUCCCUAAGACUCGAAAUUGAUCUCAGGUGCAUCCUGUUUCCAUUGAUCAUCCUUGAGAUGUUUCUACAACUUUAUUAGAGUCCACAUGUAGUAAAUUCUUGAUUGAACAUGAUUUGGAAAGGCACACACCUAUAAGGUCCAACAGAGGACAGUACAUGUCAGAGCAAAAACCAAGCCAUGAGGUCGAAGGAAUUGUCCGUAGAGCUCCGAGACAGGAUUGUGUAGAGGCACAGGUCUGGGGAAGGGUACAACAACAUUUUCGCAGCAUUGAAGGUCCCAAAGAUCACAGUGGCGUCCAUCAUUCUUAAAUGGAAGAAGUUUGGAACCACCAAAACUCUUCCUAGAGCUGGCCGCCUGGUCAAACUGAGCAAUCCUCCCUGGCGAUGGUCACUCUGACAAAACUCCAGAGUUCCUCUGUGGAGAUGAGAGAAUCUACCAGAAGGACAACCAUCUCUGCAGCACUCCACCAAUCAGAUCUUUAUGGUUGAGUGGCCAGACUUAAGCCACUCUUCAGUAAGAGAAACAUGACAGCCCGCUUGGAGUUUGCCAAAAGGCUCUUAAAGACUCUCAGACCAUGACAAACAAGAUUCCCUGCUGUUGAAAUAAAAAUGUAACUCUUUGGCCUGAAUGCCAAGCGCACCGUCUAGUGGAAACCUGGCACCAUCCCUACGGUGAAGCAUGGUGGUGGAAGCAUCAUGCUGUGGGGAUGUUUUUCAGCGUCAGGGACUGGGAGACUAGUCAGGAUCGAGGGAAAGCUGAACGGAGCAAAGUACAGAGAUAUCCAUAAUGAAAACCUGCUCCAGAGCACUCAGGACCUCAGACUGUGGUGAAGGUUCACCUUCCAACAGGAGUGUCAUCGGGUCAAGUCUCUGAAUGUCCUUGAGUGGCCCAGCCAGAGACCGGACUUGAACCCGGUCAAACAUCUCUGGAGACACCUGAAAAUAGCUGUGCAGCGACACUCCCUAUCCAACGUGACAGAGCUUGAGGGUCUGCAGAGAAGAAUUUGAGAAAUUCCCCAAAUUCAUGUGUGCCAAGCUUGUCGCGUCAUACCCAAGAAGACUCAGACUGCUGUAAUCACUGCCAAAGUACUGAGUAAACGGUCUGAAUAAUUAUGUAAAUAAGAUAUUUCAGUUUAAACAUUUUUAUAUUUUUUUUGCAAAAAAUGUUUAAAAAAAAAUGAUUUUGCUUUGUCAUUAUUGGGUAUUGUGUGUAGAUUGAUGCAGGAAAAAAAACUAUUGAAUCAAUUUUAGAAUAAGGCUGUAACGUAAUACAAUGUGGAAAAAGUGAAGGGGUCUGAAUAUUUUCAAAAUGUACUGUUUGUAGCCCUUUCCUGCAGUCAAUUACCAAAAGUGCCCUCUUUGGCCUCAGGGUGGAAUGUUAAUAAUUUUUUCAUAAUUUCAUAAUUAAUAAAGAAUGUAAAAUAGAAAACUGACAGAAAUCUGGUGUUUCUAUGUCAAAUAGUUGUGUUAUAUUUCAAUGUCCUGUGAUGUAUUGUAUAUAAAGUGUAAUAUUGGGUUUCAAAUUCAAUACAUUCCAACUCUAUAUCUGACAUGGUACAGUUGUCUUAUUUAAGCCCAUAACCAUGUUUUGUUUCAAAGUAGAUUUGUUAAAAACUACCAAGAAUCACUCUGUUUUACCUGAUUUAGCCCAUUUGUCACGUCCUGACCAGUAUAAGGGUUAAUUGUUAUUGUAGUUUGGUCAGGACGUGGCAGAGGGAAUUUGUUUUAUGUGGUUCGGGGUGGUGUUUUAUUUAGUGGGGCAUUUGAUUUGUGUAUUCCGGGGUUUUUGGGCACUGUUUUUGUAUUCAUGUAUUUCUAUGUUUGGUCUGGUGAGUCUGGUUCUAUGUUUGGUUAAUUGGGGUGGGGACUCUCAAUUGAAGGCAGGUGUUGUCUAUUUGCCUUUGAUUGAGAGUCCUAUAUAUUACGGGGUGUUUGUAAUUUGUGGGAGAUUGUUUCUUGUUUAGCGUGAGUAAGCCUUACAAGACUGUUGUGUUGAUCGUGAGUUCGUUGUUUGUUAUUAUGGUGUUCUUUUUUUGAGUUAAAUAAAACAUCAAGAUGAGCAUCCACAUUCCUGCUGCAUUUUGGUCCUCCUUUCCCAACGACAACCAUGACACCAUUGCAGUAAAAGGUUAAAUAACAUUCUACUCUGAAUGUUACUAAAGUUUUCUUGUGGUUUUUACGGAAAGUUUUCUUAACCUUUAAAAUAACAUUCUUAGAAUGUUCUCUGAACGUUACUAACGUCUUAACAUUCUCUGAAAAAUGUGAGAACAUAAAUUUAAAUA
Molecule: long non-coding RNA, 3271 nt
Filed under: Salmo salar (Atlantic salmon)
Lineage: Eukaryota; Metazoa; Chordata; Actinopteri; Salmoniformes; Salmonidae
Description: lncRNA (ENSSSAG00000107803.1)
Source: RNAcentral